RNAcentral lists this ribosomal RNA (497 nucleotides) under uncultured bacterium. RNAcentral describes it as "partial 16S ribosomal RNA". It matches the Rfam family "Bacterial small subunit ribosomal RNA", at positions 28 to 507 of the family's 1533-position model. The record is from RNAcentral.
GAUGAACGCUGGCGGCGUGCCUAAUACAUGCAAGUCGAGCGAACAGACGAGGAGCUUGCUCCUCUGACGUUAGCGGCGGACGGGUGAGUAACACGUGGAUAACCUACCUAUAAGACUUGGAUAACUUCGGGAAACCGGAGCUAAUACCGGAUAAUAUAUUGAACCGCAUGGUUCAAUAGUGAAAGACGGUUUUGCUGUCACUUAUAGAUGGAUCCGCGCUGCAUUAGCUAGUUGGUAAGGUAACGGCUUACCAAGGCAACGAUGCGUAGCCGACCUGAGAGGGUGAUCGGCCACACUGGAACUGAGACACGGUCCAGACUCCUACGGGAGGCAGCAGUAGGGAAUCUUCCGCAAUGGGCGAAAGCUUGACGGAGCAACGCCGCGUGAGUGAUGAAGGUCUUCGGAUCGUAAAACUCUGUUAUUAGGGAAGAACAAAUGUGUAAGUAACUAUGCACGUCUUGACGGUACCUAAUCAGAAAGCCACGGCUAACUACGUG